AUCUUUUAGAUCAGUAUUGCAUAGAAGGUACCUUAGCUUUAAGGUAGAGAUAAGCUCAAAAUAAUUUUUUAAAUUCGCCGUAUGUACCGAAAUAAUUUUUAAGAUUUUAAUUCCAAUAAUUAUAUUUUUGAAAUUGACAAAAAUAUAUACUAGUCAUUCAGUCUCUUUUCAUUAAGUGACUCAUUAUACCGUUGGAAAUAAAUGUGAUAUAUUUUUGCCUAUUUUAAAAUUGGUGGAAACUCAUGUGCAGUCAACUUCACGUAAAGUUGAUAAUUGAG
This 278-nucleotide long non-coding RNA is filed under the name Arachis ipaensis. RNAcentral's name for it is "long non-coding RNA (AIPA_LNC000824)". The record is from RNAcentral. Lineage: Eukaryota; Viridiplantae; Streptophyta; Magnoliopsida; Fabales; Fabaceae.